UUUGAAUCCGAUGAUCUACCGUUUCCAAAUACCUAAUUUUUGUUCUACUAUUCUUAAUUUUAGGGAUUUUCUUAAUCUGCAAAAAUUUAAGGAUCUUCGAAUCAUCCUGCGGUAGCCUUCAAUUCAACCAGGUAAAGUUUGAUUCAACGUCGUUUAGCAUUUUUUUCUUUAAUAGAUGUAUAUUCUUUUUUUGGUUACUAAUCUAUAUGCUUGUUUCCAAUAAAUUAAGUUUUUUAAGGUUUGAGAGGCUCGAGAUUGGGUAGGCAUUGGAGUAAUUGUAUAAAGGAGAGAUGAAUAAAGAGAAGAUAGAAGAAUUGAAGAUUCAAGUGCAACAGGUGUUAAAUGAUGCCCAAGAAUUUGUGCAGGAAGUCCCUCCAACUCAACUUUUCGCUGCAGUGGGAGUGAUCUUGUUCACCAUAUUUUUUUUUCUUGAUCCGUAAUUGUAGCUGACCCUAUUAAAUUAAAGUUGCUUUCUUUUUUUAAUGCAAAUUUGAAGGUCUCUGGAAUUAACAUGUCAUGCAUUGUUAAUUAUUUUUUGUUGGGAUAUUGAAUUUUGUUGCAGUGAGAUUUUCUGAGUUUCUUACUUACAGUGAUAAAGUUGGUGACUUUGUGUUGCAAUUUCUCGAGGUUAUGUAAUUCUUAGUAUGCAUUGUUGGAUACGUGGACCUUGGUUAAAGGGAUUUUUGCCUCCACCGAUAAUAUCCUGGGCUUGCUGUUGCUUACUUCUCCUUAACUUUUGAGUAUAUCUUGACAUGAUGAGCCACAUG
Molecule: long non-coding RNA, 767 nt
Filed under: Olea europaea subsp. europaea
Lineage: Eukaryota; Viridiplantae; Streptophyta; Magnoliopsida; Lamiales; Oleaceae
Source: RNAcentral